AUUUCUCAUUUAAACCUAGAACUCUCUCUCAUAUCAGAUCAUGCCUCACGCUCUCGCCGCUUGUCUCCCCUUCCUUCCUCGCUGAGUUGCUACCGGCUCGCACUACUUCUCGCCUCGCCGUUGGGAUCUGAUAUCUAAACUUGUAUUUCGUGCUCUAUUUGCGUCGAAUCGAUCUCGGUGCUCCCAUGAUUCAAGAAGAAGAGGCCUCUUAGAACUAACAGAUCGAUGUGGUACUUUAAUUGGUUUUAGUAAUGAGGUGAUGCUUCUAAGGAUCUUGAUUUGUUUGUGAGGAUUCACUAAUACCACACAAUUGUGAUUUGGUUAUUGCAAUGCCUAGAUCUUGGAUGAACCUUAGAGGUAUCCCUGUUUCUCUUAUUGAUCACAUUGGAGGUACCCCCAUUUCUCUUAUCUCUCCUAACAUGGAUGAACCUUUAUGGCCCAAUAGUUUAUAUAUGCACCUUAAAGGAUGUCCUUGGCAACUUUUUUCUAUGGUAAGACAUUUUGCGUUCCUUUUAUUUGUGUAUCACAAAUAUGAAUAUUUGGUUCCUUUCAGAGGGUUCAAACGACUCAACUUUUUAUUGGGUUCUUUUAGUGAUGUUUAUCUUCCAUUUGUUUCAUGUGUAAUAAACAUUUGAAUUUUUGUUGUUAAUAUUGAUUGCAAUUUCUUCACCUCUAAAAUACUAAAGUAUAUUUCUUGAGAAAAGUUGUCUUCUUGUUAAGAGAUUGACAUUGGAUUGAAUCUGUGUUUCUGUUUUGUAUUUGACUGGGUUUAAAAUAGUCACAACUACAUGUUGCAGGUAUAUAUAUACAUAAAUUACUUUUUUCAAACCUAACAGAAACUGGGACUUGUUCUUCUCAUGGCUGCUAAGAAGUUUAUCUCCCGAGGAUAUGCUAUGCUAUUUCAAAGAAGAUUAUCACCUCUUGAUCCAGCUUCUGACACACAGAUGUUAUGUGAACAAUGUGAGUCAAACUUAUUUGUGACCAAAGAACACAUUUACAAGUGGAGGUUCACUUGUGAAAUUAUGAUUCAAUCAGGAAUUUAUCAAAUGGUUUCAUGAGAGAAGAGAGCUCUCCUGAUGCUGCAUCAGAGAAGGAGUUGGGUAAUGAGUACUUUAAAUAGAAGUUUAAAGAAGCAAUUGAUAGCUAUUCUAGGAGCGUUGCAUUAUCACCAACUGAAGUAGCCUGUGCAAAUAAGGGGAAUGGCUUAUCUCAAAAUAAGAAGGCAAGU
This is a non-coding RNA of Camellia sinensis, 1228 nucleotides long. NCBI's taxonomy places the organism in Eukaryota, Viridiplantae, Streptophyta, Magnoliopsida, Ericales, Theaceae. The record is from RefSeq and is a predicted model, not a curated record.